GUCUAGGCCUAUGUCUUAUGUAGCCCCGCCCCUUUUCAGAACUAAGUUUGGUUGUCUGUGUUUCGUUUGCAUUUCCACAGCUUGAAGGUGAAGAUCUCCCACAUAAUGACUCCGAAGCUCCAUACAUCGCUCUCAGUGGAGAACUUCCUGUACAUGAUGCUCUCUGGAGGCAUCCAGCGUAUGGGCAACAUGGUGUGACCUCCCACCUACAAGAAAGAUUACACAUCAAGCAUCGCUCACAAACAUCUUACGUGGUAAAAGAAAAGGACACACAACAUAAGACUAAAACGGCGACAGACGCACUAGUGUACACUAUUCAAAGGUAAACUGCAUGCAAACAUCUAGUCCGACACUGCACAUUUGUUUGUCAUUCAAAUGGGAAGGCAGCAUUAUUGUCAGCUGCCUUCUCUAGCUGAAGUGAUUUGUGUUUGGCUGAUUGAUGAGACUAGACUAGAGAUAUGUCCCUCCUGUAGAGCGGCUCGGCACACAUCCCGCCUAAACAGAUGACAAGUGUUUUAGAAUCAGCAUGCAGCAGCACCCUUGCU
Molecule: long non-coding RNA, 545 nt
Organism: Carassius auratus (goldfish)
Lineage: Eukaryota; Metazoa; Chordata; Actinopteri; Cypriniformes; Cyprinidae
Exons: 3
Source: RefSeq, a predicted model, not a curated record